RNAcentral lists this ribosomal RNA (245 nucleotides) under uncultured bacterium. Its description in RNAcentral is "partial 16S ribosomal RNA". It matches the Rfam family "Bacterial small subunit ribosomal RNA", at positions 524 to 768 of the family's 1533-position model. The record is from RNAcentral.
UACGUAGGAUCCGAGCGUUGUCCGGAUUUACUGGGUGUAAAGGGUGCGCAGGCGGGCUGGUGAGUCUGGGGUGAAAUCUCGCCGCUUAACGGCGAAACUGCCUUAGAUACUAUCAGUCUUGAAUCAGCGAGAGGUUCGUGGAAUUCCGAGUGUAGCAGUGAAAUGUGUAGAUAUUCGGAAGAACACCAGUGGCGAAGGCAGCGGACUGGCGCUCGAUUGACGCUCAGGCACGAAAGCAUGGGGAU